AAUAGAUACCCUGGUAGUCCACGCCGUAAACGUUGGAUACUAGGUGUGGCGGUUAUACCAAUGACUGCCGUGCCGAAGCUAACGCAUUAAGUAUCCCGCCUGGGGAGUACGGCCGCAAGGCUAAAACUCAAAGGAAUUGACGGGUCCCCGCACAAGCGGCGGAGCAUGCGGCUUAAUUCGAUGCAACCCGAAGAACCUUACCUGGGUUUGACAUCACGGGAAAAGCUGUAGAAAUACAGUGUCCAUUAGGGCCCGUGACAGGUGGUGCAUGGCUGUCGUCAGCUCGUGUCGUGAGAUGUUGGGUUAAGUCCCGCAACGAGCGCAACCCUUGUCCUAUGUUGCCAGCGGUUUCGGCCGGGGACUCAUAGGAGACUGCCGGGGAUAACUCGGAGGAAGGUGAGGACGACGUCAAGUCAUCAUGCCCCUUAUAUCCAGGGCUGCACGCAUGCUACAAUGGCCGGUACAACGGGCAGCGACCCCGCGAGGGUGAGCGAAUCCUAAAAAGCCGGUCCUAGUUCGGAUUGAAGUCUGCAACUCGACUU
RNAcentral lists this ribosomal RNA (542 nucleotides) under uncultured bacterium. RNAcentral's name for it is "bacterial SSU rRNA". It matches the Rfam family "Bacterial small subunit ribosomal RNA", at positions 777 to 1318 of the family's 1533-position model. The record is from RNAcentral.